This 411-nucleotide unclassified non-coding RNA is filed under the name Bombus terrestris (buff-tailed bumblebee). RNAcentral describes it as "misc RNA ENSBTSG00005025481.1". Lineage: Eukaryota; Metazoa; Arthropoda; Insecta; Hymenoptera; Apidae. The record is from RNAcentral.
GAUUACUACGACGAAGAAUACGUUUCUUCCUUGUUCGUUGGUUGAAGCUGGAUCGUAGGCGGAUCUUCCAAUGCCGCGCGGUUAAAUACACGCGGAAGGUCGGUAUUCGCCAACGUGCAACGCUGAAAUUCAUCAAAGACGGCCGAGACACGAGCGAAUCGGUAGAGGGAACGACAAAGAGCCAGCCCUCUGUUUAAGUAUGCGGUGGCAUUAUACGCGACGAUCAUCCGGCGUCGUAUCCGCGAAUCCAUUUCCACGGUUACAACGCAACGAUGGCUACGGUUUCUAUUCGUCGGAAUCCGCAGUCACUUUUGGAAUCUUUUGAAAUCAGUCGCGACAGCGAUACGAUUCUGUGGCGAUACAUCCGACACGGGCCGCGCGUUUCCAUCGCCAAGAUCCGCUAUAAGGGGG